GACAGAGGGUGCAAACGUUGUUCGGAAUUACUGGGCGUAAAGCGCGUGUAGGCGGCUCGGCAAGUCGGGUGUGAAAGCCCUCAGCUUAACUGAGGAAGUGCGCCCGAAACUGCAGAGCUUGAGUACCGGAGAGGAUGGCGGAAUUCCCCAAGUAGAGGUGAAAUUCGUAGAUAUGGGGAGGAACACCGGUGGCGAAGGCGGCCAUCUGGACGGAUACUGACGCUGAGACGCGAAAGCGUGGGUAGCAAACAGG
This 253-nucleotide ribosomal RNA is filed under the name uncultured bacterium. RNAcentral describes it as "partial 16S ribosomal RNA". It matches the Rfam family "Bacterial small subunit ribosomal RNA", at positions 524 to 776 of the family's 1533-position model. The record is from RNAcentral.